CUGGAGUUGGUGCCCUUUAACACUGAGCUAUAUUAACAGACAGGCUCUGAGACUCUAAUGCCCUCAAUAUGCAGUUUCGGUUUCUAGGGAAGAGUCCUGAGAGUCCCAAGGAGCCAUUUGGGAUCUGCCGGAGCAAGAACAACGGCGUGAAGAGCUAAAAGCGAUUCCAAGGAAAUGUAGCAGAAGUGUCAGUCCAGCUGCACUCAUGUCCUGGCAAAAGGGACAGACCGAGCCGGCUGCUUCCCCAUGUGCUCUGGUGCUGGUCUCCCACCGGGACACAGAGCAGGGCCGGGGCUCCAAGCACUGCUUUAGGGUCUCCCAGAAGUGCAAGGAAGCCUCACGCGAUGCCUGAUUCAGAAGUAGGCUGCUACCAGGCAGCUUUGUGCAUUUGGUGGCUUCCUUGGAAACUCAUCAAACGCUUGGCACAAACGCGUCCCUCCUCCAGUGACAGGAGCUCACACUUCGGCAAGCAUCAAACUGCUCUGAAAUGUGAUAACGGCGUCUGUCAAUUUCUGCACACAGAGUGCUGUUUUCUGCAGCGGGACUGUUUGUCUUGGCCUUCUGGAGCUGUAGGAGCUUUCAGACCCCCUACUCCUUGGAGCAAGGUGCUGCUGCAAUGGGGUGAGCGCGGAGCAAACAUUGAAAGGCUUUGAGCUGGGAGCUCAGUGGACCCUCAGAGCUCAUGGAGGACCUGACAAGGGUUCUCUUAGAAAGGGGCUAAUGGAAAUGUCCUUUAGGAAAGGUGAGGAUUCUUCCUGCUGGAUGCCGUGAAGAUUAAGGAUGACGGAG
RNAcentral lists this long non-coding RNA (789 nucleotides) under Sus scrofa (pig). Its description in RNAcentral is "lncRNA (ENSSSCG00055012588.1)". The record is from RNAcentral. Lineage: Eukaryota; Metazoa; Chordata; Mammalia; Artiodactyla; Suidae.